This 45-nucleotide non-coding RNA is filed under the name Schistosoma mansoni. Lineage: Eukaryota; Metazoa; Platyhelminthes; Trematoda; Strigeidida; Schistosomatidae. The record is from RNAcentral.
AUACAGCAGACGAGUCCCAAAUAGGACAAAACGUACGUCCUGGAU